Molecule: ribosomal RNA, 468 nt
Filed under: uncultured bacterium
Lineage: Bacteria
Description: partial 16S ribosomal RNA
Rfam family: Bacterial small subunit ribosomal RNA
Source: RNAcentral
GACGAACGCUGGCGGCGUGCUUAACACAUGCCAGUCGAACGGAAAGGCCCUGCUUUUGUGGGGUGCUCGAGUGGCGAACGGGUGAGUAACACGUGAGUAACCUGCCCUUGACUUUGGGAUAACUUCAGGAAACUGGGGCUAAUACCGGAUAGGAGCUCCUGCUGCAUGGUGGGGGUUGGAAAGUUUCGGCGGUUGGGGAUGGACUCGCGGCUUACCAGCUUGUUGGUGGGGUAGUGGCUUACCAAGGCUUUGACGGAUAGCCGGCCUGGGAGGGUGACCGGCCACAUUGGGACUAAGAUACGGCCCAGACUCCUACGGGAGGCAGCAGUGGGGAAUAUUGCACAAUGGGCGGAAGCCUGAUGCAGCAACGCCGCGUGCGGGAUAACGGCCUUCGAGUUGUAAACCGCUUUCGCCUGUGACGAAGCGUGAGUGACGGUAAUGGGUAAAGAAGCACCGGCUAACUACGUA